ACGUAGGGGGCAAGCGUUGUCCGGAUUUACUGGGCGUAAAGCGCGCGUAGGCGGAAGCGGCAGUCCGGCCUGAAAGCCCCCGGCUCAACCGGGGAGUGCGGCUGGAAACUCCGUUUCUUGAGGGCGAUAGAGGAGUGUGGAAUUCCUGGUGUAGCGGUGAAAUGCGUAGAUAUCGGAAGGAACAUCAGUGGCGAAAGCGACUUCCUGGACCAGUACCGACGUUCAGGCACGAAAGCGUGGGGAGCAAACAGGA
RNAcentral lists this ribosomal RNA (253 nucleotides) under uncultured prokaryote. Its description in RNAcentral is "partial 16S ribosomal RNA". It matches the Rfam family "Bacterial small subunit ribosomal RNA", at positions 525 to 777 of the family's 1533-position model. The record is from RNAcentral.